CCGUUUACAAGUCACCACCACCACCCAAGAAGCCACACUACCCUCCACACAUCCCUGUUUAUAAGUCACCACCACCGCCCAAGAAGCCAUACUAUCCUCCACAUACUCCAGUUUACAAGUCGCCACCACCACCAACUCCGGUUUACAAGUCACCACCGCCACCCAAGAAACCAUACUAUCCUCCACACAUCCCUGUUUACAAAUCUCCACCACCACCUACUCCAGUUUACAAGUCGCCACCACCACCCAAGAAGCCAUACUACCCUCCACACACCCCGGUUUAUAAGUCUCCACCACCACCAACUCCUGUUUACAAGUCACCACCACCACCCAAGAAGCCAUACUAUCCUCCACACACACCAGUUUACAAGUCGCCACCACCACCUACUCCCGUUUACAAGUCACCACCACCACCAACACCCGUUUACAAGUCACCACCACCACCUAAGAAGCCACACCAUCCUUCACCAACCCCAUAUCAUCCUGCACCAGUUUACAAGUCCCCACCACCACCUAAGAAGCCAGACCACCCUUCACCAACACCGUAUCAUCCUGCACCAGUUUACAAAUCCCCACCGCCACCUACUCCAGUUUACAAGUCACCACCACCUUCAGUGAAGCCAUACCAUCCUUCAC
This 636-nucleotide long non-coding RNA is filed under the name Nicotiana benthamiana. Its description in RNAcentral is "long non-coding RNA (NBEN_LNC005959)". The record is from RNAcentral. Lineage: Eukaryota; Viridiplantae; Streptophyta; Magnoliopsida; Solanales; Solanaceae.